UCGAUAGAGAUACAUAAAAAG
Molecule: non-coding RNA, 21 nt
Filed under: Caenorhabditis elegans
Lineage: Eukaryota; Metazoa; Nematoda; Chromadorea; Rhabditida; Rhabditidae
Source: RNAcentral